UACGGCGGGGGCUAGCGAUGUUCGGAAUUACUGGGCGUAAAGCGCACGUAGGCGGACUGGAAAGUCAGGGGUGAAAUCCCGGGGCUCAACCCCGGAACUGCCUUUGAAACUCCCGGUCUUGAGGUCGAGAGAGGUGAGUGGAAUUCCGAGUGUAGAGGUGAAAUUCGUAGAUAUUCGGAGGAACACCAGUGGCGAAGGCGGCUCACUGGCUCGAUACUGACGCUGAGGUGCGAAAGCGUGGGGAGCAAACAGG
RNAcentral lists this ribosomal RNA (253 nucleotides) under uncultured bacterium. RNAcentral describes it as "partial 16S ribosomal RNA". It matches the Rfam family "Bacterial small subunit ribosomal RNA", at positions 524 to 776 of the family's 1533-position model. The record is from RNAcentral.